RNAcentral lists this ribosomal RNA (305 nucleotides) under uncultured bacterium. Its description in RNAcentral is "bacterial SSU rRNA". It matches the Rfam family "Bacterial small subunit ribosomal RNA", at positions 335 to 657 of the family's 1533-position model. The record is from RNAcentral.
AUUCCUACGGGGCGCAGCAGUGGGGAAUAUUGCACAAUGGGGGGAACCCUGAUGCAGCGACGCCGCGUGGGUGAAGGAGCACCUCGGUGCGUAAAGCCCUAUCGGCAGGGAAGAAACAGACGGUACCUGACUAAGAAGCCCCGGCUAACUACGUGCCAGCAGCCGCGGUAAUACGUAGGGGGCAAGCGUUAUCCGGAUUUACUGGGUGUAAAGGGAGCGUAGACGGCGAUGCAAGCCAGAUGUGAAAGCCCGGGGCUCAACCCCGGGACUGCAUUUGGAACUGUGUGGCUGGAGGGUCGGAGAGG